Molecule: long non-coding RNA, 598 nt
Filed under: Homo sapiens (human)
Lineage: Eukaryota; Metazoa; Chordata; Mammalia; Primates; Hominidae
Description: non-protein coding lnc-YTHDF3-6:1
Source: RNAcentral
AGGAAUUGGAAGGAGCCCAAGCAGGAGAAUAUUUGUCACACAGAUAUUUAAAUGGAAUCAGGGCUGUAUAUAACCAUGACAUAAUACUUUGUCAAAAAGUGAAAAGUUAAUCUGGUUGAGUCACAUGACUUAAAUUCAAAAGAAGGUAUUUUUACCUGGCAUAUGGAGAAGAUGAUGACAAUAAUGUGGAACUUGAUUAGACAUCAACAGAGACUCAAUGCCUCCUGGAAAACACCUGAGAAAUGAUUGAAGCUCGCUCUGGUCUUGCCUGGAAUCAUGCAUAACAUUUGUUGCUGCCUGCAUGUGGAUUCAUUUUAGCAGUUUAUCAAUUUGGACAGGGAAUUUUGAAUAAAAAAUUUUGGCAGUCAUUAUAGUGACUCUUCUGAGACUGAAAAUUCAGGUAACAAGGAAAAUCAGUGACUCUUUCUCUCUGCUUUCUUCAAAACACAAAUAAUCCAAUGAUGUAUAGGCUGCAUUGCCCUUUGAUUUGUUACCUUAGAGAUCAUUACAUGUUAGUACAUAAAGAAACUUCCCAAUCUUCUUUUAUAGCAUCCAGGUACUCCAAUGUGUAAUUCAGCCAUAACUUAAUAAAAUGGAC